Molecule: long non-coding RNA, 639 nt
Filed under: Sus scrofa (pig)
Lineage: Eukaryota; Metazoa; Chordata; Mammalia; Artiodactyla; Suidae
Description: lncRNA (ENSSSCG00015018585.1)
Source: RNAcentral
GGAUCCUUUAACCACUGUGCCAACUGGGGAUUGAACCUGCAUCCUGGCACUGCAGAGAUGCUGUCAAUUCUUUGUGCCACAGUGGGAACUCCUGCUUUCUAAAUUGUCUUUAAGCUAUUUGUUAAUUCUAUGGAACCAGACUAUUCAAACUCUCCACCAAAUCUUCAAUCCACCAACAGCAUCAGAUGGAAUUCCUGAGUCCUGCUUCAGCCAUAGAAGAAAGCUCCCUGAGACCAGGGCACUGCUCAGCAAUGCAUGGCCAGUCACAGGAAGAACCACACCUGGGUACCUUCACAUCAUGGAUUUUCCAGAAGCUACUGGCCUGGAGAGAUUUGAUCUUUCCUUGGUGCGUCCUUUCUCAGCUUACAUGGAAGGUGCCACCCGCUUUCCUACUUCAAGAUGCUCCUGGAUGCCAGUCCUGUCUUCUCCAGACAUUCCAUUUUGAGCUUAAUGGAAGUGGUGCCGCUGAAUUCAGAUCUACUGAGAGGGGCUGGAAUGCUUACGGAAGGGGUAGACUUUUGGGGAUAUUUUGAAUCAGGUUAUGCUAACCCCAACUCUGGAGAAACCUCUGACUCUGAAAUAACAAAAGGAAUAGGGGACAAGGUUUUAAAACCCUACUCAACCCUCUGACACAGUAAC